UACAGAGGGGGCAAGCGUUAUUCGGAAUUAUUGGGCGUAAAGAGCGCGUAGGCGGCCCGGUAAGUCGGAUGUGAAAACCCGGGGCUCAACCCCGGGCCUGCAUCCGAUACUCCCGGGCUGGAGGCAGGUAGGGGAGAUCGGAAUUCCUGGUGUAGCGGUGAAAUGCGCAGAUAUCAGGAGGAACACCGGUGGCGAAGGCGGAUCUCUGGGCCUGUCCUGACGCUGAGGCGCGAAAGCUAGGGGAGCGAACAGG
RNAcentral lists this ribosomal RNA (253 nucleotides) under uncultured bacterium. Its description in RNAcentral is "partial 16S ribosomal RNA". It matches the Rfam family "Bacterial small subunit ribosomal RNA", at positions 524 to 776 of the family's 1533-position model. The record is from RNAcentral.